UCCUCGGUAGUAUUGUGGUGAGUAUCCCCGCCUGUCACGCAGGAGACCGGGGUUUGAUUCCCCGCCGGGGAG
This 72-nucleotide transfer RNA is filed under the name Nematostella vectensis (starlet sea anemone). It matches the Rfam family "tRNA". Rfam says of the family: Transfer RNA (tRNA) molecules are approximately 80 nucleotides in length. The record is from Rfam by way of RNAcentral. Lineage: Eukaryota; Metazoa; Cnidaria; Anthozoa; Actiniaria; Edwardsiidae.